Podarcis raffonei (Aeolian wall lizard) is the source of this 326-nucleotide long non-coding RNA. RefSeq lists it as uncharacterized. The record is from RefSeq and is a predicted model, not a curated record. Lineage: Eukaryota; Metazoa; Chordata; Lepidosauria; Squamata; Lacertidae. The transcript has 2 exons.
AUGUAUGGUGUUGGACUGAUUCCACCAAGUUUAACUUAUAUGCAUGGCUGGAUGACACACAGAGAAAGAAUGAACAUUGUGCGCUAUUGCUCCACGGCACAAAUUACAUUGCAUGGGACAGCAGAAAUUGUGAAACCAAGAGCCCCUACCUUUGUAGAUCAACACCACAAAUUAUUGUUCGUGAGUGCUAACAAGGAGGAACCCUGGCUGGCUGUCUAGAAGAACCUGCACCCAGAGGGAUGUCAACUCCUUCCAUGACUGCUAAACUCACCUGCUACUCAUCUAUAGGCUGAAAUCCCAAAUAAACAGUAGAACUUGCAACUCUA